AGCGUGGGGAGCUGUCAAUCCCAGCUCAUGCUUGUCUUCAACAAACUGCAGGAACACCGAGGAUUUGCCCUCUGCUCAUAGUAAUAGUGCCUAGACCAUCAUCCAAGCAAUCCUAUGUGAGGCCAAGAAAAAUCUGGAAUGGAGAAGUGAGACCCAGAAUACAGAGAAAGCUGCUCGAAAGUUGGCUGUUCAAUGUUCCCUUCGUGUCAGAGAAACUGGGAGUUGCAUACAGAUGAGGACUGACUUUAUGAACUGCGGCAUUUGUCAACAGUGAAAAGGAAGCGUCUGCAAGGAGCUGCUGGGUUUGAUUUGUUGAACCUUCACACUUGACUCUAGCAUCA
Molecule: long non-coding RNA, 341 nt
Organism: Egretta garzetta (little egret)
Lineage: Eukaryota; Metazoa; Chordata; Aves; Pelecaniformes; Ardeidae
Exons: 3
Source: RefSeq, a predicted model, not a curated record